GAAAGGUUGCAUGAGAAAGAAACUGUCUCCUCCGGCAGGUCGAUGAAACUGAUCUAUCAGUACAAAAGCUGAUAUACAAAAACAGGACAAAAAGACCCUGUGAAACUUUUAAACCUAAUCAAAACCACCAUUGACCAAGGUUUUUAGUUGGGGCAACUAAGGAGAAACAAAACCUCCAUCACACUGCCAAGUCCAACAAGACAAAGCACAACACCAAAUUUGACCCAGUACAACUGACCAAAGAACCAAGCUACUCCAGGGAUAACAGCGCCACACUCUUUUAGAGACCAUAU
RNAcentral lists this ribosomal RNA (293 nucleotides) under Uromastyx shobraki. Its description in RNAcentral is "partial 16S ribosomal RNA". Lineage: Eukaryota; Metazoa; Chordata; Lepidosauria; Squamata; Agamidae. The record is from RNAcentral.